Molecule: ribosomal RNA, 253 nt
Filed under: uncultured bacterium
Lineage: Bacteria
Description: partial 16S ribosomal RNA
Rfam family: Bacterial small subunit ribosomal RNA
Source: RNAcentral
UACGUAGGGUGCAAGCGUUAAUCGGAAUUACUGGGCGUAAAGCGUGCGCAGGCGGUUUUGUAAGUCUGUCGUGAAAGCCCCGGGCUCAACCUGGGAAUUGCGAUGGAGACUGCAAGGCUUGAAUCUGGCAGAGGGGGGUAGAAUUCCACGUGUAGCAGUGAAAUGCGUAGAGAUGUGGAGGAACACCGAUGGCGAAGGCAGCCCCCUGGGUCAAGAUUGACGCUCAUGCACGAAAGCGUGGGGAGCAAGCAGG